This 492-nucleotide ribosomal RNA is filed under the name uncultured bacterium. Its description in RNAcentral is "partial 16S ribosomal RNA". It matches the Rfam family "Bacterial small subunit ribosomal RNA", at positions 29 to 507 of the family's 1533-position model. The record is from RNAcentral.
AGUGAACGCUGGCGGUAGGCCUAACACAUGCAAGUCGAACGGCAGCGCGGUAAGAGCUUGCUCUUACGGUGGGCGAGGGGCGGGCGGUAGAGGGAUACAUCGGAAUCUACUUUUGCGAGGGGGAUAACGGCGGUAAACUUACGCCAAUACCUCAUACGACCUACGGGGGAAAGCAGGGGAUCUUCGGACCUUGCGCGAUCGAAUGGGCCGAUGGCGGAUUAGCUAGUUGGCGGGGUAAAGGCCCACCAAGGCGACGAUCCGUAGCUGGUCUGAGAGGAUGAUCAGCCACACUGGAACUGAGACACGGUCCAGACUCCUACGGGAGGCAGCAGUGGGGAAUUUUGGACAAUGGGCGCAAGCCUGAUCCAGCCAUGCCGCGUGGGUGAAGAAGGCCUUCGGGUUGUAAACUCCUUUUGUUGGGAAAGAAACGCAGUAGGUUAAUACCCAGCUGUUCUGACGGUACCGAAAGAAUAAGCACCGGCUAACUUCGUG